This 500-nucleotide ribosomal RNA is filed under the name uncultured bacterium. Its description in RNAcentral is "partial 16S ribosomal RNA". It matches the Rfam family "Bacterial small subunit ribosomal RNA", at positions 29 to 523 of the family's 1533-position model. The record is from RNAcentral.
AUUGAACGCUGGCGGAAUGCUUUACACAUGCAAGUCGAACGGCAGCACGGACUUCGGUCUGGUGGCGAGUGGCGAACGGGUGGGUAAUGCGUCGGAACGUGCCGAGUAGUGGGGGAUAACGCAGCGAAAGUUGUGCUAAUACCGCAUACGUACUGAGGUAGAAAGUGGGGGACCUUCGGGCCUCACGCUAUUCGAGCGGCCGACGUCUGAUUAGCUAGUAGGUGAGGUAAAGGCUCACCUAGGCGACGAUCAGUAGCGGGCCUGAGAGGAAGGACCGCCACACUGGGACGGAGACACGGGCCAGACUCCUACGGGAGGCAGCAGUGGGGAAUUUUGGACAAUGGGCGAAAGCCUGAUCCAGCCAUGCCGCGUGUCUGAAGAAGGCCUUCGGGUUGUAAAGGACUUUUGUCAGGGAGGAAAUCCCUAGUGCUAAUAACACUGGGGGAUGACAGUACCUGAAGAAUAAGCACCGGCUAACUACGUGCCAGCCGCCGCCGUAA